UCAUUAAAUCAGUUAUGAUUCAUUGGAUGUUGACCAAUUACAUGGAUAACUGUGGUAAUUCUAGAGCUAAUACAUGCCGAAAAGCUUCAUCGCAAGGUGAGGCGCAUUUAUUAGACCAAGACCAAAGGUGGCAACACCUUCCGGUGGUGACUCUGGAUAACUGCAGCUGAUCGCAUGGCCUAGUGCCGGCGACAUAUCCUUCGAGUGUCUGCCUUAUCAACUUUCGAUGGUAGGUUAUGUGCCUACCAUGGUUGUAACGGGUAACGGAGAAUCAGGGUUCGAUUCCGGAGAAGGAGCCUGAGAGACGGCUACUACAUCCAAGGAAGGCAGCAGGCGCGCAAAUUAUCCACUCUCAGCACGAGGAGAUAGUGACGAAAAAUAACAAUAUGGGCUUCGCUUACGCGUUCUCAUAAUUGGAAUGAGUACAGUUUAAAUCCUUUAACAAGGAUCAAUUGGAGGGCAAGUCUGGUGCCAGCAGCCGCGGUAAUUCCAGCUCCAAUAGCGUAUAUUAAAGUUGUUGUGGUUAAAAAGCUCGUAGUUGGAUCUCAGUUCAGUCGUGUUGGUCCACUUUGUCGGUGGUUACUGGCACGUUGAACAUAAUACCAAAUUGUUCGCAGGUGUUCUUAAUUGGGCGUCUGCGGCGAUUGGUACGUUUACUUUGAAAAAAUUAGAGUGCUCAAAGCAGGCCUUCGUGCCUGAAUACUGUUGCAUGGAAUAAUGGAAUAGGACCUUGGUUCUGUUCUGUUGGUCUUCGGAAUCGAGGUAAUGAUUAAGAGAGACGGACGUGGACAUUAGUACUGCGGCGAUAGAGGUGAAAUUCUUGGACCGCCGCAUGACUAACUAAAGCGAAAGCAUUUGUCAAGAACGUUUUCAUUAAUCAAGAACGAAAGUUAGAGGUUCGAAGGCGAUCAGAUACCGCCCUAGUUCUAACCAUAAACGAUGCCAACCAGCAAUCAGCCAGAGUUUUUCAAAUGACUCGGCUGGCGGCUUCCGGGAAACCAAAGUGUUUCGGUUCCAGGGGAAGUAUGGUUGCAAAGCUGAAACUUAAAGGAAUUGACGGAAGGGCACCACCAGGAGUGGAGCCUGCGGCUUAAUUUGACUCAACACGGGAAAACUCACCUGGUCCGGACACUGGAAGGAUUGACAGAUUAAGAGCUCUUUCUUGAUUCAGUGGGUGGUGGUGCAUGGCCGUUCUUAGUUGGUGGAGCGAUUUGUCUGGUUAAUUCCGAUAACGAACGAGACUCUAGCCUAUUAAAUAGUCACGGUGGCCUUCGGUCUGCCGGUGGCUUCUUAAAGGGACAAACGGCGUUUCAGCCGUAUGAAAAAGAGCAA
This 1332-nucleotide ribosomal RNA is filed under the name Avenzoaria totani. RNAcentral describes it as "SSU rRNA". It matches the Rfam family "Eukaryotic small subunit ribosomal RNA", at positions 98 to 1453 of the family's 1831-position model. The record is from RNAcentral. Lineage: Eukaryota; Metazoa; Arthropoda; Arachnida; Sarcoptiformes; Avenzoariidae.